GAUGAACGCUGGCGGUCUGCUUAACACAUGCAAGUCGAACGGGGGUAGCAAUACCCUAGUGGCGGACGGGUGAGUAACACGUGAGAAUCUGCCAAAAGGUUCGGGACAACAGUGGGAAACCGCUGCUAAUACCGGAUAUGCCGCAACGUAAAAGGAGAAAUCCGCCUUUUGAUGAGCUCGCGUUUGAUUAGCUAGUUGGUAGGGUAAGAGCCUACCAAGGCGACGAUCAAUAGCUGGUCUGAGAGGACGAUCAGCCACACUGGGACUGAGACACGGCCCAGACUCCUACGGGAGGCAGCAGUGGGGAAUUUUCCGCAAUGGGCGAAAGCCUGACGGAGCAAGACCGCGUGAGGGAGGAAGGCUCUUGGGUUGUAAACCUCUUUUCUCAGGGAAGAAGCUCUGACGGUACCUGAGGAAUCAGCAUCGGCUAACUCCGUGCCAGCAGCCGCGGUAAUACGGAGGAUGCAAGCGUUAUCCGGAAUCAUUGGGCGUAAAGCGUCCGCAGGUGGCAAUUCAAGUCUGCCGUCAAAUCCAGUGGCUCAACUACUGACAGGCGGUGGAAACUGAAUAGCUAGAGUGCGGUAGGGGUAGAGGGAAUUCCCGGUGUAGCGGUGAAAUGCGUAGAGAUCGGGAAGAACACCAGUGGCGAAAGCGCUCUGCUGGACCUGCACUGACACUGAGGGACGAAAGCUAGGGGAGCGAAUGGGAUUAGAUACCCCAGUAGUCCUAGCCGUAAACGAUGGAUACUAGGUGUGGCUCGUAUCGACCCGAGCCGUGCCGCAGCUAACGCGUUAAGUAUCCCGCCUGGGGAGUACGCACGCAAGUGUGAAACUCAAAGGAAUUGACGGGGGCCCGCACAAGCGGUGGAGUAUGUGGUUUAAUUCGAUGCAACGCGAAGAACCUUACCAGGGCUUGACAUGUCGCGAAUCUUUUUGAAAGAGAAGAGUGCCUUCGGGAGCGCGAACACAGGUGGUGCAUGGCUGUCGUCAGCUCGUGUCGUGAGAUGUUGGGUUAAGUCCCGUAACGAGCGCAACCCUCGUUUUUAGUUGCCAAUAUUAAGUUAGGCACUCUAAAGAGACUGCCGGUGACAAACCGGAGGAAGGUGGGGAUGACGUCAAGUCAGCAUGCCCCUUACGUCCUGGGCUACACACGUACUACAAUGCUUUAGACAAAGGGCAGCCAAGCCGCGAGGCCGAGCUAAUCCCAUAAACUAAGGCACAGUUCAGAUCGCAGGCUGCAACUCGCCUGCGUGAAGGCGGAAUCGCUAGUAAUCGCAGGUCAGCAUACUGCGGUGAAUACGUUCCCGGGCCUUGUACACACCGCCCGUCACACCAUGGGAGUUGGUCACGCCCGAAGUCGUUACUCCAACCCGCAAGGGAGGAGGACGCCGAAGGUGGGACUGAUGACUGGGGUGAAGUCGUAACAAGGUAGCCGUACCGGAAGGUGUGGCUGGAUCACCUCCUUAACAGGGAGACCUACUUCACGCUCGACCAAACCUAUUGUUUUAUGGUCUAGUUGAAGUCAUCCCAAGGUCGAACGAGAUUGGAUGGUUGGCUUUCAAACUAUGUCAGGUUCACUCGCCCUUUGUGAGUUAAACCGCUUUCUUAUGUGAGGUUUAUUUAUCCUCCAAGAGCGCGAUCGCUUUCGCUCAAGUAGUGAUUGUGGAUCAAGAUUGAGUUGAGACAACGACCUCAACUUUCAUCAACCGGAUUUCAACCCAAAAAUAUUUUUGUUGUUGAUGCACCUCACAAAUCCACUCGCAAGAGUUACAUUAGUAAUUGUGGCUUCAAAGUUAAGCUGCGAAUGCCGCGAGUGAACUGAUACUAACAAGAAAGAUUUCUUUCAAAACGGAUUUUCAACUUCAGCAACUUAUCUAGAUGACAUGGGUUUCUAGAGAGCCUGCUGGAAUUGUUUCCAGUCGUGAACCUUGAAAAUUGCAUAGUAACUUGUCAGGUAGAAACACUUGGGUAAAAAGUAAUAGGUAAUGGGUAAUAGGAAAUUCCCAAUUACACAUCACCGAUUGCUAAAUACCAAAAGUUUCACAGACACCAAUUUAAUUAAAGUGGUCAAGCUACAAAGAGCUGACGGU
This 2089-nucleotide ribosomal RNA is filed under the name Potamosiphon australiensis FHC0914.03. RNAcentral's name for it is "bacterial SSU rRNA". The stretch from base 1 to 1465 matches the Rfam family "Bacterial small subunit ribosomal RNA". Lineage: Bacteria; Bacillati; Cyanobacteriota; Cyanophyceae; Aerosakkonematales; Aerosakkonemataceae. The record is from RNAcentral.